CGGAGCCAUUUAAGGCAGUGGCACUGGCAGCUAAUCCUCAAGAUAUUACACAAUUCUUACUUCUUCUCAAUAAGAGGAUUUUAUCAAUGCCCAAGAAUUCUCUCCCAAACAACAUAAACCCUUCCUCUCUAUCCACCGGAGGAGGAAAAACAAACAAACAGCAGGUCUAGAUACUACAGCUGCUGAAAGUUGGAGAGGGAACAACGGUAGGAGGUGAUAAUUCUGACUAGAACUACAGAAUAAAUCUGGCAGUUAAAAUAAAGGAACGGUUGUGCUCGUGGUUACUGGAGGGAGCUUCAACUUGUGUCUGCUGGGGAGGAUUGUGGAGGGCCAGGCCCAGGAACAGAGCCAGGAGGGGGGCUACCUGCAGACGGACAAAAUGAACCUAUCCCAGCUCCAGAGGAACCAGACAAGGGUUCAACUCUCCACUAUCCUCCAUGCUGUGCACUGUGAAGAGUGGACUGGGGGAUCGCAGGAGCUCUAUGACAGGGUGCAAAGCUUGGAAAAGAGACCCGUAAACCGAGAAUUGGAACCACACACCCAUUCCACUGAAUAGUAGGCUAGUGAUUGCUUUGCGAUGCUUGCAGUUAGCCACUGAUUCCUUCUAAACCACUCAUUGUUGAAUUUGAGAAUUCCAACUUGUUGUGUAAUGUUUAUGUCCAAUGGCUGAUGAGCACCGAUACGUAUUAUCUAUUAUUUCUCUUCAUUAUUUCUCUUCAUAUCACAAGGAUUAAAAAGGAUUUGCCAGUAGAUUGUCAACUUGAUUCUUGAUGAUGACUGUAGCUAAGAUUUUGAAAAUAUGACGUUGACAUGAUCAAUAACUCUAUGGCAGCACCCAAGGGACUUAAGUUUUUGAGCUCUACCCUUAGAUUUGGCAGUGAUGUAGUGUUCCUAUGAAUGACGGAACACUGAGACAAUCACGGCACAACUAAAGAACAUUACCAACCCCUACACUCUGUAUUUUCCGCUGGCUACCCCAGUACCACAGAAAGUACUGAGCUAGGCUGAAACACCUGCAUUUAGGAGCUGCCUUACUCAAGAAAGCAAAAAAGAGAUCAUGUUUUUAUGGAGGCUUUAUUAACUCAAUGAUUUUUAAUAUAUAUUUUUUUACAUUGUUUGCAAACUGAUAUGUGACACGUAUUAAUGACAAAAUAACAUGCAAAACAGGCAAAACAAUUUAUUUUAUUUUGGGCGGGGGGAUUGAUAAAAAAAAUUGGGGCUCAAAACAGGCUCUGCCCCACCUGCCCUGAAUGAUGGGUCGCCACUGGAUUAUUUAUAUGCCCAUUUUUGCCAAUGAUGACUAGCUGUGAUGACAUUUGUUAUCAAGUCUGCAUAUGGGUGCAGAGCACGCACAUUUCACUCUGCAAAUUGGAGUGAAAAUAGGCUUCCAUAAAGUUGUUGAGCAAUCUUGAACAGAUUGCCAGGAUAUGGAUUUCAUCUGACUAAUUUCUACUUGGGCUGUGAACCGUCAAACCUGAAGCUGGUGUGUUGUUGUAAGUAGCUACAUUUUGUUUGCUGCUAGCUAGCUAGCUACAUGUCAUUAUUUGAAAGGCUACGUUGCUAUGAUACAAGGCUAUGGAACGCCUUUUGGGUCUUUUACAUGCCAAAACGAUACACUUCAAAUAACACUCUGAUGCGUCAAAUAACACAAUUCUAUUAUAGAAUGUUAUGUGUGAUGAAUUUGCACGUGCAAGCCAAGUUCCACCACUACUAUCAGUAGCACUGUCAAAGCUGUACAAAAAGUCUG
This is a long non-coding RNA of Oncorhynchus masou masou (cherry salmon), 1747 nucleotides long. RefSeq lists it as uncharacterized. The record is from RefSeq and is a predicted model, not a curated record. The transcript is spliced from 3 exons. Lineage: Eukaryota; Metazoa; Chordata; Actinopteri; Salmoniformes; Salmonidae.